UUUUUCAAACAUAGAAACCAAAAUACACUUGGCUCGUUUUUCAUUCACUCACGAAACAAACAACGUCGUAGAAGCUCAUAUACCCUUGUCAACACUUUCAUUAUCAAAUCAAAUACCCAUUUCAUUCAUUCACUUUUCUCAGAAACAGAAGAAAAGAAAAACGGUUUCAGAAUUUUCUUCCGAUCUCCAACAAUGGCUCCAUUUCUUCGUUUCUUCGUUUCUCCUUUUCUCCCGCCAAAACCAAAAUCCGAUAACGCUGAAGCAAUCGUGAUGAACUUCGUCAAUGAGCAAAAUAGGCCGCUGAAUGCGUUGCAAAAGUUUAAUCCGAAGAAAACGGUGAUACAGAAAGCGUUGGAUACUCUUCAAAAUGAAGAGCUUAAUCAGAUGAAGAAAAAGAAUCCUGAUUUGCAGAAGCAGCUUGAGGAUAUUUGCGAGUUUGAAGCAGGUAUGGUUAAAAUGUUUUGGAAAUGUAAUUGAAUUGUGUGAUUUAAUUGAUUGAACUCGAUGCUGUUCGGUUACUAUGAAUUUUUUUAUAGUGGAGCAAACGAAGCUCAGCCAAAAAGGGAGGACCAUGGCUUCUUCUCCAAAUCUAGAGAGCUUAAAAUUGAUCUACACUCUGGUCCAAACCUAAGACGGAGCUGGUCAAUCUCCUCGGCUUCCUUCCAGGAAAUUUCAACUAUUGAUCUUGAAGAGGAGCGUUUGGUAAUAAGUUUACUAAGACAGAAGUUGCACUCUCAAGAGCUCAAGAUGUUGGAGAUGGAUGACCAUAUAAGCUGGCUUCAAAUGCAAUUAUCCAUAUUGAGGGGAGUGGUGGAAGAUAGAGAUCAACUGGAGGAGAAAUGGAUGCAAAGCCAAGAGGAGAUUAAGCUGUUAAUCUCAAAAAUCAAGCAACUACAGGAACACAUUGAUAUGCUUGAGGUUGAUCUGGAUUUUAAGGAUGGUCAAAUGUCGAUCUUGCAAGACGAGAUUCAAUUUUACAAGUAUAAUAUAGUUUAAGAUAGUUUGAGUUACGGUUUAGCGGACUUGGUGCUGGUUGUAGCGUGUUUCUGCUAUUGUGAAGUAGGCCUGCAUUUUACUUGCAUAUUUGGCUUAUUGUAUGGUCAUGUAUAAUGGCGAAAAGGUUAUUCUUAUUUUAAUUGAAUUAUAGGUGAUAUCCUGGAGUUAUAGUUAUUGGUACUCAGGACAAAGCUUGAUUCAUUCCUGGUCUUGGUUAUUUAGAGUUGUAGUCAGAUCAGAUAGGCUUAAUUUUAAUUAGUAGUUGGCUAUGACCCAUAAUUAAUGAGAAAAAGAAUCACUGAAGCUAUAUAUUUGAUUGUUAUUUUUUAAGAGAACAUGUAUGCUGAUGUCAUUUGUUAGAAACAUGAAUUUUUAUAAACUAUUCUAAUUUA
Medicago truncatula (barrel medic) is the source of this 1388-nucleotide long non-coding RNA. RefSeq lists it as uncharacterized. The transcript is spliced from 5 exons. The record is from RefSeq and is a predicted model, not a curated record. Lineage: Eukaryota; Viridiplantae; Streptophyta; Magnoliopsida; Fabales; Fabaceae.